AAAGUCGUAACAAGGUUUCCGUAGGUGAACCUGCGGAAGGAUCAUUACUGAAGGGAAGCGGGGGCUCUUGUCCUUGCAACAUCACCCUUGCUUUUUGUUGCUUUGUUUGUUUCCUCGGCAGCUUUACCUGUCAAUGAGGACCUCUUAAAACCUAAAAAAGUAAAAUCAGUCAUUAAAUAAUCUUACAACUUUCAACAAUGGAUCUCUUGGCUCUG
Molecule: unclassified non-coding RNA, 215 nt
Filed under: Basidiomycota sp.
Lineage: Eukaryota; Fungi; Basidiomycota
Description: partial contains small subunit ribosomal RNA, internal transcribed spacer 1, and 5.8S ribosomal RNA
Rfam family: Eukaryotic small subunit ribosomal RNA (bases 1-47)
Source: RNAcentral